UGAGACACGGUCCGACGAACUCCUACGGGGAGGCAGCAGUAGGGAAUUUUCGUCAAUGGGGGGAACCCUGAACGAGCAAUGCCGCGUGAGUGAGGAAGGUCUUCGGAUCGUAAAGCUCUGUUGUAAGAGAAAAACGGCACUCAUAGGGAAUGAUGAGUGAGUGAUGGUAUCUUACCAGAAAGUCACGGCUAACUACGUGC
RNAcentral lists this ribosomal RNA (200 nucleotides) under uncultured bacterium. RNAcentral's name for it is "partial 16S ribosomal RNA". It matches the Rfam family "Bacterial small subunit ribosomal RNA", at positions 320 to 508 of the family's 1533-position model. The record is from RNAcentral.